RNAcentral lists this long non-coding RNA (446 nucleotides) under Ananas comosus (pineapple). RNAcentral describes it as "long non-coding RNA (ACOM_LNC034092)". The record is from RNAcentral. Lineage: Eukaryota; Viridiplantae; Streptophyta; Magnoliopsida; Poales; Bromeliaceae.
ACUGAAUUCAUUGCAAAUCUUGAUGAAGUGUGUGGAGAUUGUUUUGCAUGGUAUUUCAAGACUUCGAUAUCGUGUCUUAAGUCAUAGAGUUUGUAUUAGGAUGUGAAAAAUGUAUUUUUGGAUCGAUCAUGCAGAAGAUUAUUGUUUUGUGAUUGCAAUAAUCUUCUUAUUUUAUUUUUUGGAUGAGUAUUGUAAUAUUUUGUAUUUUGUCACGAAAUCGUCAAAGGGGGAGAUUGUUAAGGAUUUUAUUAAGUUGGCGACUUUCGUGAAGUUUUGGACGGAGUCUCGAAGAGUUAGAAGACGAAGGUUGAAGAAAGAAUUGGAGUUUGGCGAUCAAAGACCCUUAGGAUCUCAGGUAUGAUUAUAAAUAAUUUGUGGUGAUGUUUUAUUGUUAAAAGGUGUUUAGAAGACUUGGUUUCUAUUUUUGUUGAUCAAACUAAUGUUUU